Felis catus (domestic cat) is the source of this 576-nucleotide long non-coding RNA. RefSeq lists it as uncharacterized. The record is from RefSeq and is a predicted model, not a curated record. NCBI's taxonomy places the organism in Eukaryota, Metazoa, Chordata, Mammalia, Carnivora, Felidae. The transcript is spliced from 4 exons.
GCGGCAGCCGGAUGGAGCCGCGGCAUCUCGGCCUCAAGCCACCUGAGCUCUGACCUGUGUCAGGCCAGAAAGAUUAGCACCAGCAGACAGAAAAGAAAAUUAAAAACCAAGAAAGAGAAGAGAAAGAAAGGAUCUCAAAACAUGGUGGAAGUAAUGAUUGAGAUUUAGACUAAGAGAAAAGAGACAAAGAAACAACAGAAGUCCCAAGGACAUUCAUGAGCAAAAUCAAGAUGUUCCAUCCCUUGAACAAAGAAGCAUGUUCCUCCUGCCGUGCCAGCCUGCAGAUGCCUGCCCCUUUUAUGCAGCGGCCUCUGCUGCUCGCUCCCUCUGGCCUUCUCCUUCCCAAGCCAUUUCAUUCCUGAGCUCAGAGCUACAGAGCAGAGCUUUCCUGGACACAGCAAGAUGAAUAAAUACGUUGACAUUUUUGGAAACAGAUUCUCAUGUAUUGGAAGACAAAAAUACGGAAAAGAGAAAGUAAGAAAGUACCUUACAUGUUGGAUUGGAAUUGGAUAUGAAUACAAACUCAACAUACCUACCUUCAUAGUAGAAAUAAGCACAUCUAGUCUCCAGAUCGUG